AGAUGUGAGGGCCAACCGCCUGUGACAUCUGUCACCACACUGAUCUCCAGCCUUGAGUCAGCCCAUGUGCCUGCCCAAGCCCAGGUCCCCUUCCUCACCCAGCGCUCCAUAUGCAUCCCUCCCAAAGCUGCUGGGGCACAGAGGACGACCUCCCUGAUACAGACAGUACAUUUUAUCACUCAAGACUAUUGGGUAGUUUGCUCCCUGCUACAACCUUCAAACCAAACCAAGCUCCAUUCCUAGGAGGGCUUUUCCAGUAGUCAAAACCAAAAUUAUGCGCAUAACAGGACUGAAACAGUGUCU
This 303-nucleotide small nuclear RNA is filed under the name Cyanistes caeruleus (blue tit). RNAcentral's name for it is "7SK RNA (ENSCCEG00000000558.1)". It matches the Rfam family "7SK RNA". Rfam says of the family: 7SK was discovered as an abundant small nuclear RNA in the mid-70s but a possible function has only recently been suggested. Lineage: Eukaryota; Metazoa; Chordata; Aves; Passeriformes; Paridae. The record is from Rfam by way of RNAcentral.